This 402-nucleotide unclassified non-coding RNA is filed under the name Ascomycota sp. Its description in RNAcentral is "partial contains small subunit ribosomal RNA, internal transcribed spacer 1, and 5.8S ribosomal RNA". The stretch from base 1 to 47 matches the Rfam family "Eukaryotic small subunit ribosomal RNA", at positions 1785 to 1831 of the family's 1831-position model. Lineage: Eukaryota; Fungi; Ascomycota. The record is from RNAcentral.
AAAGUCGUAACAAGGUUUCCGUAGGUGAACCUGCGGAAGGAUCAUUAACACGUAUCCAACGUUAAACCCCCCUGUGAACCUUUACUCGUGACUCCCCCCUUCGUUGGAACCCGGCAAUUCCUGGUAAAUCAUCGCCGAACAGUUUUGAUUCAGGAACUUCUGGAGGAAGGGAAAUGAGCGCGGCGCAACAUGUGGUCUGGCAUUCCUCUGCUUGUUAGUGUCUGAAAGUGUCACUAGCUCUGUACGAAUGACGCAGUAACGAUCGCUGGAGGCCGACACGGCCGGCGACCGGGCCUCAGGGACUUGAUCCCCCUAAUCACCCCUUUGCAUGAAAACGGGCCUGCGCUUAAUUGUGCGGCCACCAAACUUGAACAACUGUUAACAAUGGAUAUCUUGGUUCUC